Long non-coding RNA from Tupaia belangeri chinensis (Chinese tree shrew), 382 nucleotides. RefSeq lists it as uncharacterized. The transcript has 3 exons. Lineage: Eukaryota; Metazoa; Chordata; Mammalia; Scandentia; Tupaiidae. The record is from RefSeq and is a predicted model, not a curated record.
CUGUGGAGGGAGGCGGGGCGAGCCGGGUCGGGGCGACCAUGGUCACCCUGGAGGCUCCGCUCCCGCGCGCUGACCUAUUAGGACGCGCCGCUGUGAAACUCUGCUGAAGCUGCAGGAGCAGUCGUUCCGGGUGGAUCCAGACAAACGCUGAGAGGGAAUCGAUGUGUGUCGCCCUCCGAACCACGUUAUCCAGAGGGCCUGGUGGUUUGUCUCUCGUCUCGCAGGAGCUCGAACGUUUCGUCAACGCCUGGCGGGACCGUUAGAUCCAUGAGGUGAGUUGCCCAAAAGAGGAGAAAAGAAUGCACGAUGAACUUCUACGUGCAAUAUCUAAGGACUUUCCAGUUCUAAGCCAGCUGUAAUCUCCUUAUUGUAAGAAGGGAAA